RNAcentral lists this ribosomal RNA (634 nucleotides) under uncultured Marinobacter sp. Its description in RNAcentral is "bacterial SSU rRNA". It matches the Rfam family "Bacterial small subunit ribosomal RNA", at positions 870 to 1504 of the family's 1533-position model. Lineage: Bacteria; Pseudomonadati; Pseudomonadota; Gammaproteobacteria; Pseudomonadales; Marinobacteraceae. The record is from RNAcentral.
CGCCUGGGGAGUGCGGCCGCAAGGUUAAAACUCAAAUGAAUUGACGGGGGCCCGCACAAGCGGUGGAGCAUGUGGUUUAAUUCGACGCAACGCGAAGAACCUUACCUGGCCUUGACAUGCAGAGAACUUUCCAGAGAUGGAUUGGUGCCUUCGGGAACACUGACACAGGUGCUGCAUGGCCGUCGUCAGCUCGUGUCGUGAGAUGUUGGGUUAAGUCCCGUAACGAGCGCAACCCCUAUCCCUAGUUGCUAGCAGUUCGGCUGAGAACUCUAGGGAGACUGCCGGUGACAAACCGGAGGAAGGUGGGGAUGACGUCAGGUCAUCAUGGCCCUUACGGCCAGGGCUACACACGUGCUACAAUGGUGCGCACAGAGGGCUGCAAACCCGCGAGGGGGAGCCAAUCUCACAAAACGCAUCGUAGUCCGGGUCGCAGUCUGCAACUCGACUGCGUGAAGUCGGAAUCGCUAGUAAUCGUGAAUCAGAAUGUCACGGUGAAUACGUUCCCGGGCCUUGUACACACCGCCCGUCACACCAUGGGAGCGGAUUGCACCAGAAGUGGUUAGUCUAACCUUCGGGAGGACGAUCACCACGGUGUGGUUCAUGACUGGGGUGAAGUCGUAACAAGGUAACCGUA